UCCCCGGAGGACUAGUGGUUAGGCCACGGCGCGCUAACUUCUCCGCCCUCGGUUCGAUUCCCAGCCAGGGAA
Molecule: transfer RNA, 72 nt
Filed under: Pangasianodon gigas (Mekong giant catfish)
Lineage: Eukaryota; Metazoa; Chordata; Actinopteri; Siluriformes; Pangasiidae
Description: tRNA-Leu
Source: RNAcentral